This 212-nucleotide long non-coding RNA is filed under the name Capsicum annuum. RNAcentral's name for it is "long non-coding RNA (CANN_LNC006414)". The record is from RNAcentral. Lineage: Eukaryota; Viridiplantae; Streptophyta; Magnoliopsida; Solanales; Solanaceae.
GCCAAGUGAUGUGGCUAGUGGACCCAUUUCACUCAUGGAUGCAAGGAGAUCACGUGAUGAUAGUGAUCCUAAUGAUAUUCGUUGUAAAUUAUCUUGGAUAUUCAAUUAUGAUGAUGUAAUUGUGUGGUUGGAGUGAAUCUUAGAAUAUUGAAGGUUUUGUGUUUAAAUUUGAUUUUGGAGUUUGAAGAUACUGUUGAAAAUUUGGAGUUUGA